AGAAGCAGGAGGAGAAAGAAAGUAAAAAAAAAAAAAAAAAAAAAUGGAGGAAGAGAGAGUAAAAAUAUUUUGAUUAAUUCUAAAAUAUUCUGUCUGAAUCUAUAAAAUUAAAAAAUGCGAUCCGAUUUUGUUAAAAAGCAAAAUCAAUAGAUUUUUUAUGCAAAAAAUACUUUUUAAUAAAUUAACGGCACUAAAAACUGAGACUUAAGCAAAAUAAAUAUGAAAGACCAAGGAUAUUGUUGUAAGGAAAAAAAAAAAGGAUGGAGGACGAACAUGAAAAUUGAGUGA
This 288-nucleotide long non-coding RNA is filed under the name Ananas comosus (pineapple). Its description in RNAcentral is "long non-coding RNA (ACOM_LNC028383)". The record is from RNAcentral. Lineage: Eukaryota; Viridiplantae; Streptophyta; Magnoliopsida; Poales; Bromeliaceae.